RNAcentral lists this unclassified non-coding RNA (224 nucleotides) under Hevea brasiliensis (rubber tree). Lineage: Eukaryota; Viridiplantae; Streptophyta; Magnoliopsida; Malpighiales; Euphorbiaceae. The record is from RNAcentral.
GUUUAACGGGAGUUAGCUGCCGACAGGUUUAUAAUAGAAAACAGACGAAAAAAUAUGAUGGCCCUGAGUUCUUAUUGACCCACCACUUUUCUACAUAAUCCCAAUACAAUUCUGUACGCAUCUUUGUCCUGCUCUUCCUUCCAAGUCCAAAAACGUGUAAUGGCAAGUGUCCGGUGACCCAAUAACUUCUAUUCUAUUCUAUAUUGGUCCAGUAUUUGAACGGG